UUCCCUCGGAUGUGGAUGGGCGGGGCCUGUCGGGCUGUCCACUUCGGUUUUAACUCUGUGUGGUGGAGGGAAGACACAGACUGGCUGCCGCUCCUCUGCUCUCCUCUCUCUAAAGUCAACAUCCCUAACUCUGAGAACCGCAGUGCCAAAAUCAUGGAGGAAAUGGACUUUGAGCGGCGUCGGGAGCUGAGGAGGCAGAAGCGGGAGGAGAUGCGAUUGGAGGCAGAAAGGAUGGCUAGGAUUGAUGAUGAUGAGGAAGAAGCGGCCCGCGAGAGGAGGCGCAGGGCACGCCAGGAGAGACUGAAGACCAGGGAGGGCGAGGAGCCUAGCGGACAGCCAGACAGUCUGGUCGUGACCAACAGCCACAGUGUGACAGAGACGGUGUCUGUGACCAGCUCUUGCGGAGGAAGCGUGGACGACGAGGACCAAGCCCUGCUGGACCGCAUGGCCAAACGUGAGGAGAGGAGGCAGAGACGCAUGAUGGAGGCGAUGGAGAGACAGAGACAGGUGGACCCCACGGUGACAGAGGACAACAACACGGAGAAAAACAACGAGGAAGAGGAGAGGCCAUCAUGGCGCCGGGGUCGUUACCGGGACAACGAGGAGGAGGAGGAGAAGACAUACAGCCCGAGAAGGGAGGAGAAGCAGCAAGUGGAAGAGCCGGGAGAAGAGGAAGUGGCUGCUCCUGAGGUAGAGGAAGAAGUGGAGGAAGACGUGGAUGAAGAGGAGGAGCAAAAGGAAGAUGUGGUGGAGGAGAAACCGAAAAGAUCCUACAUGAGGGAAGAGGAAUCGACUGAUGAGCCUUCUGGCCAAUCAGAGAUUACCGAGAGAGACGGAGUGAGGGAGGAGUGGGAGGAGCAGAGGAAGCAGAACGGAGGGCUGCAUGACGAGGAGGCUCCCAAACAACACAGGAAACCUGAGAGGACUCUCAGUCGGGGCAGCCUGCGCUCCCCCGAGGUGUCUGCAGGUGAUGACCAGGACGACGACGCCCGGCUGGAAGCAGAGCGCAAGCUGGAGGAGCUGAAGCGUCGCCGCGAUGAUGCCGAGACCGAGGAGUUUGAGAGGAUGAGACAGAAGCAGCAGGAGGCUGAGGCCGAGCUGGAGGAGCUGAAGAAGAAGAGGGAGGAAAGGAGGAAGGUGCUGGAGGAGGAGGAGAAGCAGAAGAAGCAGGAGGAGGAGGAGAAGAAAGCCAGAGAGGAGGAGGAGAAGAGGAAGAUGAAAGAGGAGAUUGAAAGGAGGCGAGCAGAGGCUGCUGAGAAGAGGCAGAAAGUGGAGGACACUAUGGACGGAGAGGAAAAACCCUUCAAGUGCGUCAGCCCCCGAGGCUCUUCUUUGAAGAUUGGAGAGCGAGCGGAGUUCCUGAACAAGUCGGCACAGAAAAGCACUGUGAAGGCGUCCAUUUCCCCCAUGGUGUCCAAGAUAGACAACAGGCUGGAGCAGUACACCUCUGCUGCUCAGAGGGAGAACAGGGAGUCUCGAUCCCCUCGCUCCGGGGCGGUGGAUUUGCCCGUGGUUACCGACAGCAUACGAAACAUCAAGAGCAUGUGGGAGAAAGGCAACGUGUUCGGCUCGCCUGGAGGUGGAGGAAACACAUUCAAGGAAGCAGCUGUGAUGAAGACGGGCGUGGCCGGCCGCAUCAAUGAGUGGCUGAACAAAACCCCAGAGAGCGGGAAAACGUCAGGAGGAAGGCCAGCGGACCUUAAACCUGUUGAUGUCACCAACAAGAGAAAUCUAUGGGAAAACAAAGGAUCUUCUCCAGCCAAGAACUCAUAGCUAGUUGACGUUCACCAUUAAAUCUGGAAUAAGCCUGGAGAGGUGGCAGGCAGAGGGGAGACCAAAUCAGUCGCCAACGGGAUGGGACACUAAUGUCUUGAAGACGCCACUAAAGCAGGGGACCAUGACAAUCCGAGAUGCUUCCUUUGACUUUGUCUUAACAACCAAAAAAAAAAGAAAAAUGACCAAACUCCCUGGAGGGGGGGGCGACCCCAAGAAAACAGAAGGGCAGGAGAGCACCGAACUCGAACAACAUCACAGUUAUGUAUGGUUGCUACGCUGAGUGCCUUUGCACAUUUUAUUAUUAUUAUUAUUAUUAUAAUUAUUUUAAUUUUUUUAGCUUUCUAAAAGAAACAGAAUGCUGUGAAAUUUGGACAUUUGUAAUUACUGUUACUAAUGACUUUCUACGGUCCUGCCAGGAGAAAGGAAAACAAAUUAAAUUUAGAUUCAUCGCUCGUCUCCGAUGCCAAGAGUUUUGAUAGAGACGGCGUAGAUGAGAAAAACAUUCCGAAGAGAUGGUGAAAUCCGCUCUCUCCCUCGUACAGAUCAUUUUCCAUCUCGCUACUUCUUUUUUUUUUAUUUAUAUUUAAAGCAAAAGCUUCACACAUUUGCUAUUUUAUUCAACCCUCACCAAUUCAGGAUAGAAAUACACACACCUAGAAGUUAGCUGAUUUCACCUUUGUCAAGUCCUACCAUUAGUGCAGCAAUGGUCUGAGUAAUAUAUGUGACCUGUAUCUUAUAUAACACCUUUAUAGUCAAAACAAAAGGUAUUUUUGUGCUUUUUUUUUUGUAUUCACAAACUAUUCACCAACAGACGGAGUUGAUUAUCCAGGAGGCCAUUAUGAUUUUUAUUUUAUUAUCCUUUUUAUAUGUCAUUUAAUUUAUGUCUUUGUGUGUCGUGUUUCCUGCUACUCCGAGCUGGUUUUGUAGCUUUUGUACCUGUGUGAUCACUUUAAAAAUCUUCAGACAUUCCUCGUGCACAAGGUGCCUUCGCUGCUUUAAAGCUGUAGGUUUUAUAAUGUGGUGAUAUAAUGGCAAACCACCUUUUUUUUUAUAAAAACAAAAAAAUACUACCUUUAAAGGUACACUGUGUAGGAUUUAGUGGCUGAAGUAUGUGGUGUUUUUAUAUCCCUGACCUGUCGGACAGUUUUUUCCUCAAAGCAACAGGGUUUUAAUUAAAUAUUUUUUAAAUUGAUUUUGAAAAUCAAUUCAAGAACCCAUCAAUUAUGGGUUCUUGGCCGUCAUUGGAUUUUAAGGUUUGUACCAAAAACAAAACCUAAUAGAAAUAGAAAGCUAAGUGGUUUUGGUCGCUAGUAAAGCUAAUGUGUUCAAUAGGAACAUGACCUCCGUGUUUAGAAACGUCAAAGUACACGGACUAGAUGUUAGUCAUGUGACUAGACCAAAUAUUGCUGAUGUUUUUAGACUUUAAUACUCAACAGUAAAUUCAGGGUUUCCCCAACCACUGGCAUGGGGACCAGUAUUGGACCAUGAAUCAUUUGGUUUUGGGCCGAAGUUUUAGUUAGAUAUUUUUCAUGUACAUCAGUCUCCAUGGUGAUUUUUAUUUUGUUUAGGUUUUUUUUUUUUUAAAGUGAUCCCUUGCGUCGGCCACAUUUGACCCUAAAUUUUACACAGUGUACCUUUUAUCUCAUUAUUAUUUUGUUCUUUUUGUCUCUAUGCACACUUUAACGCUCGGCAUCACUUUCUAAUUUGGGAUAAAUGCAGUAAACAUUUAAAGUACAUGUUAUUGCAGUACAUGGAUAUUCACCACUACUAACUGUUAGUACUGUCUCUGGUCUUAUCAGUGCAGCUUCGACAGGAGCGGAGGUGAAGCUACGCAGUAGCCUCCGAGCAGCGGUAUCACAUCGAAGACUUUUUGUGUUUCAUUUUCCGCCCUCGUGGCGCAGCCUCUCACACUCGACAAAAAUUCGUAUGGUUUGCCAGAGCAUUAAAUUGGUCCAUGUCACUGCUCAAAGGUCUGACAAUCACAUUCCACGGCUCCUGAGAAGAGCAGAGGAGCUGGACCAAAAUAUUUGUAAGCGUGAUAUAAUGUGAUUUUUUUUUUUCGUUAUUAUUAUUUUUAUUUUACUACAGUGGUCUCAUAAUGAUGCUUUGUUUUUGUUUUUCCUCUGUCUGUUUUUUAUGUUUGUUUUUUUUAUUAUUAUUAUUUUACUUUCCAUGUUUAUCCAGACACUUGUUGUUGGUAUAGUGCUACGCCUAUGCAAAAAAACACACACACUCUCUCUCUCUCUCUCCCUCUCUCUCUCUCUCUCUCCCUCUCUCUCUCACUAGUUUCUGAACAUUCCUAAUGUCACACAUGUGGGCAAUUUCCAACUGGAUGGAUGUUUUAAACAUUGUACCAUUUUACAACAACAGCAAUAAAGACAUCGAGGUAA
This is an RNA transcript of Cynoglossus semilaevis (tongue sole), 4166 nucleotides long. It is a transcript of the gene named caldesmon 1a, with no coding region annotated. The record is from RefSeq and is a predicted model, not a curated record. NCBI's taxonomy places the organism in Eukaryota, Metazoa, Chordata, Actinopteri, Pleuronectiformes, Cynoglossidae. The transcript is spliced from 16 exons.